UACGGGGGGAGCAAGCGUUGUUCGGAUUUACUGGGCGUAAAGGGCGCGUAGGCGGUCAGCACAAGUCAGUUGUGAAAUCUCCGGGCUUAACUCGGAAAGGUCAACUGAUACUGUGCGACUAGAGUGCGGAAGGGGCAACUGGAAUUCUCGGUGUAGCGGUGAAAUGCGUAGAUAUCGAGAGGAACACCUGCGACGAAGGCGGGUUGCUGGGCCGACACUGACGCUGAUGCGCGAAAGCCAGGGGAGCGAACGGG
RNAcentral lists this ribosomal RNA (254 nucleotides) under uncultured bacterium. RNAcentral describes it as "partial 16S ribosomal RNA". It matches the Rfam family "Bacterial small subunit ribosomal RNA", at positions 524 to 776 of the family's 1533-position model. The record is from RNAcentral.